CCACCAUUGUUGUCAUAGAUAUGAAUGAGUAGAUAGGACACGCCCCUUUGAGCUGCGUGCUACAGCGAGGCUAAGCUAGUGGGGGCAAAGUUUCAGUGCAUUCCGUUGAUGUAGACGGCGUGAAAACGGAAACAACAAGUAUGCCGGCUCACUGUGCUGCAUACAAUUACACACUACGUCGUACGAUUGAGAUAAGGAAACUUGGAAUGACUUUUAAUAGGUUUCCCAGAGACUAUGGGUUGAGGAGGAAUUGGAAGUUUGUUGGCUUAGACCUGGUGUCAUUCCAUCAGUGUUAAACUUCCCGGCUCAUCUUGGAAGAGUACGUACCAGAAAGACCACGACCAAACAGCCUUGAGAUCUUAGGCAGCGUCUCCCUCAGUCGACUUCAUGGAUUUUAUGGAUGGUGGUUAAAGACCUGCUCUUCUAGUGGUCUUCCUUCUAGUCGCUGUAAAAAGUCAGUCCAUCCUGGCUGACUUCAACACCUCUUCAUGACAACUUGUUCUGCCUCUGACCUGGUGGAAAGUCCAGAAACUCGGGAAAACCUGUGGAGACUCGAAGAACUCGUGGAGACUCGAGGAACUCGUGGAGACUUGAGGAAUUCGUGGGGUGGGGGAAGGUGUGGUGGGCGGUGGGGGAGUAGAGGGGGGAGGCCGCCACCCAACUCCCCGCCUACUCUCCGCCCUGACUCCACCCAGACUCCGCCUUGGCUCUGCCCAUGUGGUCAUUUCAGGACUACGAUGCCAAAGGGACGACGAAAUUAUUUCUUUGUAUCUGAUCUGUAGCUCAGUGAGUUAAGGAUUUGCCUAUGGAGCUGCAGGUCGCAGGUUCAAGACCAGACACUUCUUAAAGUUUUUGAAAAUCCUGACAAAGACAAACGAAGAAAAAGGCCGGUGGUGGGUCUUGAACCUGCGACCUUCCGCUUACUAGUCUAUCCUCUUAUCCCCCUGAGCUACUCGCUCAGAUACUAAUUCUUCUUUUUUUUGCGCAUUUAUCAUCUAUUUUUUGUCGUUUUCGAGUUUUUUUUUAACUCGGGUCUCGACUCGACCGUUUUUCUCAGGAGGUGGGACUUCAGCCUUUGUGCUGGAGGGUGGAACCCUCAGUUCCAAGACUUUCCAAAGCCUCCACACCUCCCGAGUCCUCAGGACCUGAGUUUUCACACAGUCUGAGGGCUGAAAUUUUCUAAGUCCCACAGUAGUUCUCUGUUAGAUUGAACUUUCAGACAGUCCAAGGACUGAUAUCUUCCAAGUUCAUGAGUAGUUCUCUGUUAGUUUGAACCUUCAGACAGUCUGAGGACUGAAAUCUUAAAAGUUUCUCAGUACUUCUCUGUUAGUUUGAACCUUCAGACAGUCUGAGGACUGAAGUUUUAAAAGUUUCUCAGUACUUCUCUGUUAGUUUGAACUUUCUGGUUAACAGAAGCCUUAAAACUUGUGACCAUGAGUCUUGAUUUCACAUUUAGACCAUCCAUCUGAGUUCUUCUCAGACCUUCACCUGUGAGUUUUUUAGAAAUCCUCAACAAACUUUGAUUCUCUUCACUGAACAGUAAAGUUUGUGGAGAUCAGAAGGUAACAUUAGUUUGAUCGAUACCUUCAACUACUAGUAGACUUUAUCUGGAAAGCAGUUUUCUGAAAUGAGUUCUUAGUAAAUCUGUCCACAAUCAAACCAAGAACAUAGAAAGAGGAAAUGUUUGAAGAAACAACUUGAUGUUUUCAUUUCAGACUAGAAAACGCUUUAAGACUUUAUCUGUUUUUGCUCUUUUUGAUCGUUUCAUUGUCUCUUCUGUUUAAUUUGAUCUUCUAAAGUUUAACUGGUGUCUUUUCAAAUGAUUUGUCUUUAGUUGGAUUCUUCUUAAACGUUUAGUUUUGCUCUUUUCUCACCUUUUAUUCUUUUCUAAUGUCUGAUUUGAUUUCAAAAUGUUUUGUCUUUUUAAUGUUUGUUGUUUUUUCAAAUGUUUUAUCGGCUUGUUUGAAAAAUUUCCUUUUCUUUCCCAAUGUUUAAUUUUUCGAUUAAAUCUUUAAGGUUUUUCUUUUUAAAUGUUUUACCACCUUUUAAUGUUUAAUUUUCUUUUUAAAUGCUUCAUUGUAUUUUCUGUUUAAUUCCUAUUUAAAGUUUUAUUGUCUUUAAGAUUUAAUUUUCUAAUUAAACAUUUAAUUUUUUAAUUAAAUGUUUUGUAUUUUUCUGAAUGUUUAAUAUUCUUGUUUAAUUGUAUUUUUUAAAUGUUUAAUUAUAUAAAAUAUUUCAUCUUUAAUGUUUAAUAUUUUUGUUUAAAUUUUUUUUGUUUAAUUUCAUAAUUACAUUUUGUAUCUUCUGUUUAAUUAUCUAAUUAAAUAUUUUGUCUAAUAUAAUUUAAUUGUAUUUAAUGUUUAAUUUUCUUUUUUAAAGUUUUAUUGUAUUAAAUUUUUUCCCUUUGAUUUAAUUGCUUUUUGUUAUGUAGUUUAUUUCUUUAAUCUUCUUUUUCUGUCAAGAUUUUAACCCC
Molecule: long non-coding RNA, 2473 nt
Organism: Amphiprion ocellaris (clown anemonefish)
Lineage: Eukaryota; Metazoa; Chordata; Actinopteri; Pomacentridae
Source: Ensembl